AGAACGAACGCUGGCGGCAUGCCUAAUACAUGCAAGUCGAACGAACUCUUCGGAGUUAGUGGCGCACGGGUGCGUAACGCGUGGGAAUCUGCCCCUUGGUUCGGAAUAACAGUUGGAAACGACUGCUAAUACCGGAUGAUGACGAAAGUCCAAAGAUUUAUCGCCAAGGGAUGAGCCCGCGUAGGAUUAGCUAGUUGGUGAGGUAAAGGCUCACCAAGGCAACGAUCCUUAGCUGGUCUGAGAGGAUGAUCAGCCACACUGGGGCUGAGACACGGCCCAGACUCCGUACGGGAGGCAGCGAGUAGGGAAUAUUGGACAAGUGGGACGAAAGCCUAGAUCCAGCAAUCGCCGCGUGAGUGAUGAAGUCCGUUAGGUGUAAAGUCUACGUUUUACCGAGUAGUGAUAAUGACGAAGUAGUACGGAAGAAC
Molecule: ribosomal RNA, 428 nt
Filed under: uncultured soil bacterium
Lineage: Bacteria
Description: bacterial SSU rRNA
Rfam family: Bacterial small subunit ribosomal RNA
Source: RNAcentral